This 2931-nucleotide ribosomal RNA is filed under the name Escherichia coli. Its description in RNAcentral is "23S ribosomal RNA". It matches the Rfam family "Bacterial large subunit ribosomal RNA". The record is from RNAcentral. Lineage: Bacteria; Pseudomonadati; Pseudomonadota; Gammaproteobacteria; Enterobacterales; Enterobacteriaceae.
GGGUUGUGAGGUUAAGCGACUAAGCGUACACGGUGGAUGCCCUGGCAGUCAGAGGCGAUGAAGGACGUGCUAAUCUGCGAUAAGCGUCGGUAAGGUGAUAUGAACCGUUAUAACCGGCGAUUUCCGAAUGGGGAAACCCAGUGUGAUUCGUCACACUAUCAUUAACUGAAUUCAUAGGUUAAUGAGGCGAACCGGGGGAACUGAAACAUCUAAGUACCCCGAGGAAAAGAAAUCAACCGAGAUUCCCCCAGUAGCGGCGAGCGAACGGGGAGGAGCCCAGAGCCUGAAUCAGUGUGUGUGUUAGUGGAAGCGUCUGGAAAGGCGCGCGAUACAGGGUGACAGCCCCGUACACAAAAAUGCACAUGCUGUGAGCUCGAUGAGUAGGGCGGGACACGUGGUAUCCUGUCUGAAUAUGGGGGGACCAUCCUCCAAGGCUAAAUACUCCUGACUGACCGAUAGUGAACCAGUACCGUGAGGGAAAGGCGAAAAGAACCCCGGCGAGGGGAGUGAAAAAGAACCUGAAACCGUGUACGUACAAGCAGUGGGAGCCUCUUUAUGGGGUGACUGCGUACCUUUUGUAUAAUGGGUCAGCGACUUAUAUUCUGUAGCAAGGUUAACCGAAUAGGGGAGCCGAAGGGAAACCGAGUCUUAACUGGGCGUUAAGUUGCAGGGUAUAGACCCGAAACCCGGUGAUCUAGCCAUGGGCAGGUUGAAGGUUGGGUAACACUAACUGGAGGACCGAACCGACUAAUGUUGAAAAAUUAGCGGAUGACUUGUGGCUGGGGGUGAAAGGCCAAUCAAACCGGGAGAUAGCUGGUUCUCCCCGAAAGCUAUUUAGGUAGCGCCUCGUGAACUCAUCUCCGGGGGUAGAGCACUGUUUCGGCAAGGGGGUCAUCCCGACUUACCAACCCGAUGCAAACUGCGAAUACCGGAGAAUGUUAUCACGGGAGACACACGGCGGGUGCUAACGUCCGUCGUGAAGAGGGAAACAACCCAGACCGCCAGCUAAGGUCCCAAAGUCAUGGUUAAGUGGGAAACGAUGUGGGAAGGCCCAGACAGCCAGGAUGUUGGCUUAGAAGCAGCCAUCAUUUAAAGAAAGCGUAAUAGCUCACUGGUCGAGUCGGCCUGCGCGGAAGAUGUAACGGGGCUAAACCAUGCACCGAAGCUGCGGCAGCGACGCUUAUGCGUUGUUGGGUAGGGGAGCGUUCUGUAAGCCUGCGAAGGUGUACUGUGAGGUAUGCUGGAGGUAUCAGAAGUGCGAAUGCUGACAUAAGUAACGAUAAAGCGGGUGAAAAGCCCGCUCGCCGGAAGACCAAGGGUUCCUGUCCAACGUUAAUCGGGGCAGGGUGAGUCGACCCCUAAGGCGAGGCCGAAAGGCGUAGUCGAUGGGAAACAGGUUAAUAUUCCUGUACUUGGUGUUACUGCGAAGGGGGGACGGAGAAGGCUAUGUUGGCCGGGCGACGGUUGUCCCGGUUUAAGCGUGUAGGCUGGUUUUCCAGGCAAAUCCGGAAAAUCAAGGCUGAGGCGUGAUGACGAGGCACUACGGUGCUGAAGCAACAAAUGCCCUGCUUCCAGGAAAAGCCUCUAAGCAUCAGGUAACAUCAAAUCGUACCCCAAACCGACACAGGUGGUCAGGUAGAGAAUACCAAGGCGCUUGAGAGAACUCGGGUGAAGGAACUAGGCAAAAUGGUGCCGUAACUUCGGGAGAAGGCACGCUGAUACGUAGGUGAAGUCCCUUGCGGAUGGAGCUGAAAUCAGUCGAAGAUACCAGCUGGCUGCAACUGUUUAUUAAAAACACAGCACUGUGCAAACACGAAAGUGGACGUAUACGGUGUGACGCCUGCCCGGUGCCGGAAGGUUAAUUGAUGGGGUUAGCGGUAACGCGAAGCUCUUGAUCGAAGCCCCGGUAAACGGCGGCCGUAACUAUAACGGUCCUAAGGUAGCGAAAUUCCUUGUCGGGUAAGUUCCGACCUGCACGAAUGGCGUAAUGAUGGCCAGGCUGUCUCCACCCGAGACUCAGUGAAAUUGAACUCGCUGUGAAGAUGCAGUGUACCCGCGGCAAGACGGAAAGACCCCGUGAACCUUUACUAUAGCUUGACACUGAACAUUGAGCCUUGAUGUGUAGGAUAGGUGGGAGGCUUUGAAGUGUGGACGCCAGUCUGCAUGGAGCCGACCUUGAAAUACCACCCUUUAAUGUUUGAUGUUCUAACGUUGGCCCCUAAUCGGGGUUGCGGACAGUGUCUGGUGGGUAGUUUGACUGGGGCGGUCUCCUCCUAAAGAGUAACGGAGGAGCACGAAGGUUGGCUAAUCCUGGUCGGACAUCAGGAGGUUAGUGCAAUGGCAUAAGCCAGCUUGACUGCGAGCGUGACGGCGCGAGCAGGUGCGAAAGCAGGUCAUAGUGAUCCGGUGGUUCUGAAUGGAAGGGCCAUCGCUCAACGGAUAAAAGGUACUCCGGGGAUAACAGGCUGAUACCGCCCAAGAGUUCAUAUCGACGGCGGUGUUUGGCACCUCGAUGUCGGCUCAUCACAUCCUGGGGCUGAAGUAGGUCCCAAGGGUAUGGCUGUUCGCCAUUUAAAGUGGUACGCGAGCUGGGUUUAGAACGUCGUGAGACAGUUCGGUCCCUAUCUGCCGUGGGCGCUGGAGAACUGAGGGGGGCUGCUCCUAGUACGAGAGGACCGGAGUGGACGCAUCACUGGUGUUCGGGUUGUCAUGCCAAUGGCACUGCCCGGUAGCUAAAUGCGGAAGAGAUAAGUGCUGAAAGCAUCUAAGCACGAAACUUGCCCCGAGAUGAGUUCUCCCUGACUCCUUGAGAGUCCUGAAGGAACGUUGAAGACGACGACGUUGAUAGGCCGGGUGUGUAAGCGCAGCGAUGCGUUGAGCUAACCGGUACUAAUGAACCGUGAGGCUUAACCUUACAACGCCGAAGCUGUU